Molecule: long non-coding RNA, 312 nt
Filed under: Mustela putorius furo (domestic ferret)
Lineage: Eukaryota; Metazoa; Chordata; Mammalia; Carnivora; Mustelidae
Description: lncRNA (ENSMPUG00000027969.1)
Source: RNAcentral
UGCUCCACAACCCCACCUCUUUCAGGGUGUGGAGGAGAGGGAGCUGGGACCCACAAAAGGCUUCAGCCCUGGCCAUUUCCCUUCACCUGUUCAGCAGGUGGGCCCCAGGUUACCUUGCUCCUCAGCACCGGAAAGUUAAUGUCCUUUGUUCCUCGUAAUUUGCUUUACUGUGGCGGCAGGGAGCUGCUCGAUACACGCGUGCACGUCUGGUGAACAAGGGAGAAAGUUAGAGUCUCACCUGUGAGUAUGAUCACUUUGUGGGAAUGGCCAAAUCCUUGCUAAAGGGGUCAUUCUCACCUUUUUCCUUGAUCC